GCCGGCCGAGGACCCCUCCCGGGACCGAGCUGCCUACAGCAUACGCCUGAUCAUACGACCUAAAUUGGGGUCACUCUCGCCCACUAUCCCCCCAAUAUUUGCCACAUAUAGCCUUUUGAAGACGUUCUACCAACGUGUGCAGAACUCCAGGGGCUCUGAACUCUUCAAGUCUAAAGUAGUUUUGAUCAGGCGUAUGCCGGGCAGCCCCGAAUCUCGGCUCCUUUGGUCCCCUUAUGCAUAUGCAGCAGAUUGUGAUCUUUAACACGCUGAGAGAGAAGGGGGCGUACCCUCGUCUCCGUAGGUGAGCGUUUGUUCACUGCGACCCUCGUGGAUGACCCGAGUACUCUGGGAAAAACCUUCUCGUGGCUCAAAGUCCGCCUCCUCCCCGGUCCCUUCACCAAGGCCAAAAGCGGAACACCACUGAAGAAUGGGGAGCUGUGGAUACCCAAAAGGAUCAGAUGAACCAUCCAAGGACCAAAUAAAUAUCCAUACUGGGCCCAGGCACAAGGGCUUACAAGGGCAGUGGCUGCGGGUUCCAGUGCCUGUGGGGUCCCAGUGCCUAGGCACCAAGGGAACACAGAAACUUGGAUUAUCCUCAUCGCAUACCCUGCAGAGAUGAUGGAAGGAGCAAAUGAGGUAAGAGUUGUAAACAGACCUCGGGUGGCUUCUGGGGGAGGGGGUUCGGGUCAGGGGUGGGGUUAUUUCCCAGAGAGGAGACAGGAACCACCCUAGGCUGCUCAGCAAUGUCUACACUGUCUUCUCUCCAUGAAGACAAGGCAGGGACAUUGUGUCCUGAAUGAUCUCUUAAAAUGCACCCCGUUAGCUGGUUCAGUAGCACUCCAACCCGCCCUCCACCUGCAGCCUUGGGGAGUUUGGGGGAGAAGGAGGGUGCCGCUGGGGUAGGGGCUCGGAGGGAGGCCGUACAUCACAGCAGCAGCUGAGCCAGAGACAGGAGUGAUUUUUCUUCAUGGUUUGCAGACAAAUGAGGUGGACAGAAAAUAGAUGGCAACCUUCGGCAGCGAGAGGCCUGGGGCCAAGGGAGGCAACUUUGAUUGUCCGGGCAGUGGGGGCAUUCCCAGCCUCCCGUCCCAGGCUGCUGGCCUCUGCAGAGGAUGG
This 1116-nucleotide long non-coding RNA is filed under the name Sus scrofa (pig). Its description in RNAcentral is "lncRNA (ENSSSCG00025047102.1)". Lineage: Eukaryota; Metazoa; Chordata; Mammalia; Artiodactyla; Suidae. The record is from RNAcentral.